Molecule: transfer RNA, 71 nt
Filed under: Boodlea composita
Lineage: Eukaryota; Viridiplantae; Chlorophyta; Ulvophyceae; Cladophorales; Boodleaceae
Description: tRNA-Thr
Source: RNAcentral
GAAAAAAUUGUUGGGGUUUUUUUUUGGGUCCCGUAAAUCCAAGAAAAAAAAACCGGCCUUUUUUUUUUUUU